Molecule: long non-coding RNA, 727 nt
Filed under: Heterocephalus glaber (naked mole-rat)
Lineage: Eukaryota; Metazoa; Chordata; Mammalia; Rodentia; Bathyergidae
Description: lncRNA (ENSHGLG00100041950.1)
Source: RNAcentral
CAAUGAGAAGGUAGCUAAGACAUGCAUAGAAGGCUGGUAACAAAUGCUAGAGAUGAACUUGCAUAAAGUUUUCAUUGGCACUUUUGAUGUCACCAAUAUUUUCCAGCUGUGACAUCACAAUAGAAGAUAUGUAGUAUUUAGGAGAGAUCAAGGUGUUUCUGGAUCAUGGAAUACAUUUAUUUUCAAGUAGGCAAGAUGUUUCCAAGUUGGUCUCCAAAGUGGUUGUACCAAUUUACAUUUUAACUAACAAUAGCUCCUCCCUCCUCUCUUUGCCUCCUCACUGCCAUGACAUGAGCAGCUUUCCACUGCCAGAGCCUUUCACCAUGCUGUUUCUACCUUAAAGUCAGCCAACCAGAGUUCUCAACCUAUUUUGGUAUCAAGGUUAUACUAACUACAGCCUAGGCAUGGUGGAGCCUGCCCAUAAUACCAAUACUCUUGGGGGGCAAUGUAAGAAGAUCUCAAGUUCCAGCCCAGCCUGGGAAUCUUAACACCUUAACAAGACCCUAUUUCAAUUUUUAAAAAAAAUUUUUUUUAAAGACUGGAGAUAUAGCUCCCCAGUACCACAAAGAAAGAGAUUAUACUAAUUUCAUAAAAUAAGCUCAGUAACCUUUACUCCUUUUCUGUUUUCUGAAAUAUUACUAAGUGGGAUCAUUUGUUCAAUGAAAUUUGGUAAAACUCACCUGUAAAACCAAUUGGCCUUGUUUCUUUGACAAAGGAUAGCAGAAAG